This 506-nucleotide ribosomal RNA is filed under the name uncultured bacterium. Its description in RNAcentral is "partial 16S ribosomal RNA". It matches the Rfam family "Bacterial small subunit ribosomal RNA", at positions 29 to 523 of the family's 1533-position model. The record is from RNAcentral.
AGUGAACGCUGGCGGUAGGCCUAACACAUGCAAGUCGAACGGCAGCACAGGAGAGCUUGCUCUCUGGGUGGCGAGUGGCGGACGGGUGAGGAAUACAUCGGAAUCUACUUUUUCGUGGGGGAUAACGUAGGGAAACUUACGCUAAUACCGCAUACGACCUACGGGUGAAAGCAGGGGAUCUUCGGACCUUGCGCGAUUGAAUGAGCCGAUGUCGGAUUGGCUAGUUGGCGGGGUAAAGGCCCACCAAGGCGACGAUCCGUAGCUGGUCUGAGAGGAGGAUCAGCCACACUGGAACUGAGACACGGUCCAGACUCCUACGGGAGGCAGCAGUGGGGAAUAUUGGACAAUGGGCGCAAGCCUGAUCCAGCCAUACCGCGUGGGUGAAGAAGGCCUUCGGGUUGUAAAGCCCUUUUGUUGGGAAAGAAAUCCAGCUGGUUAAUACCCGGUUGGGAUGACGGUACCCAAAGAAUAAGCACCGGCUAACUUCGUGCCAGCCGCCGCUGUAA